RNAcentral lists this long non-coding RNA (681 nucleotides) under Oryza brachyantha (malo sina). RNAcentral describes it as "long non-coding RNA (OBRA_LNC001747)". The record is from RNAcentral. Lineage: Eukaryota; Viridiplantae; Streptophyta; Magnoliopsida; Poales; Poaceae.
GAUUCAUUAGCAUCCAUAUAAAUCUAGAUAAAGCUAGAAAGUCUUACAUUACGAAACGGAGGGAGUACAUUAGAUCAUGCACAAAAACAUGUACCUGAAUAUGAUGCUUUGUUUUGACCAUUGGCCACAAGAUUUCUUUGGUCGAUCCGGGGACCGUCCAUACGCAAUUUGGAUCAAACAUUAAACCAGGGCUAUUGCAGUCUUGGCCGGCCGGCAACUACGGGAAACGACAAUGACAAAGUUAGCUGGCUGAAUGCAGAAGAAGCUCAGGCUAAUUAAGCAUAGGGGUAAAACUACUUCAUAGCGGACAGCAGGUCUGUGCGCCAUGCUAGUGCUAAGAAGCAGGCUUGGUGUCUCAUGGUGAUAAUGCUGCACCUGUGGCACAGGUUCGACCAGCAUGAUUUCUCACAUGCUGACUUGAUGAUGGAUUCCUUAUGCCUCCAUUUCCUAUUUGAGUUUUUUUUGGUAAAGAUGCUUUAACGUACUAUUGGUGGUGGUGGAGGAGGGGGUGAGGGGUUUGUGCUUUCGUCAUGGGAACGCCGUUCGCGAUCGUGCUAGCUGCAACAAAACAAUGUGUUUGCUAGUAUCCACAUGUCUAAAGAUGGAACGCCAUUGGUGAUCAUGCUAGUUGGACGGCUAGAGUUUUUCUCGUAAAAAACGUGUGGCUAGGGUUUGAGUAUU